RNAcentral lists this transfer RNA (70 nucleotides) under Pseudomonas aeruginosa. RNAcentral describes it as "tRNA-Lys". It matches the Rfam family "tRNA". From Rfam's summary of the family: Transfer RNA (tRNA) molecules are approximately 80 nucleotides in length. Their secondary structure includes four short double-helical elements and three loops (D, anti-codon, and T loops). The record is from RNAcentral. RNAcentral also lists the same sequence under 13 other names. Lineage: Bacteria; Pseudomonadati; Pseudomonadota; Gammaproteobacteria; Pseudomonadales; Pseudomonadaceae.
GGGUUCUAGGCCUGCAACCAAUUAUCUUUUAACCAAUUGGUCGUAGGUUCGAAUCCUACACGACCCACCA